AGGGACAGUGUAGAGGGAAUGAGGGUUUGGGCCCAUUAGGGACAGUGUAGAGGGAAUGAGGGAAGGAAUAGGGGGCCAUUAGGGACAGUAUAGAGGGAAUGAGGGUUUGGGGCCAUUAGGGACAGUGUAGAGGGAAUGAGGGAAGGAAUAAGGGGCCAUUAGGGACAGUAUAGAGGGAAUGACGGAAGGAAUAGGGGGCCAUUAGGGACAGUAUAGAGGGAAUGAGGGUUUGGGGCCAUUAGGGACAGUGUAGAGGGAAUGAGGGUUUGGGCCCAUUAGGGACAGUGUAGAGGGAAUGAGGGAAGGAAUAGGGGGCCAUUAGGGACAGUAUAGAGGGAAUGAGGGAAGGAAUAAGGGGCCAUUAGGGACAGUAUAGAGGGAAUGAGGGUUUGGGGCCAUUAGGGACAGUAUAGAGGGAAUGAGGGUUUGGGGCAAUUAGGGACAGUAUAGAGGGAAUGAGGGUGUGGGGCCAUUAGGGACAGUAUAGAGGGAAUGAGGGAAGGAAUAGGGGGCCAUUAGGGACAGUAUAGAGGGAAUGAGGGUUUGGGGCCAUUACAGACAGUCUAGAGCAUGGGUGUCAAACUCUGGCCCGUGGGCCAAAUUUGGCCCGGGGUAAUUAUAUUUGGCCCGCGAGACAAUACCAAAUUACUACUAGAGCUGGCCCGCCGGUAUUAUACAGCGCAUUCACCACUA
This is a long non-coding RNA of Oncorhynchus tshawytscha (Chinook salmon), 693 nucleotides long. RefSeq lists it as uncharacterized. NCBI's taxonomy places the organism in Eukaryota, Metazoa, Chordata, Actinopteri, Salmoniformes, Salmonidae. The transcript is spliced from 3 exons. The record is from RefSeq and is a predicted model, not a curated record.